This 484-nucleotide long non-coding RNA is filed under the name Gossypium raimondii (Peruvian cotton). RNAcentral describes it as "long non-coding RNA (GRAI_LNC011229)". The record is from RNAcentral. Lineage: Eukaryota; Viridiplantae; Streptophyta; Magnoliopsida; Malvales; Malvaceae.
AUAAACUCAAAUUGAGCAAAACGAUCCCAUUGAGCUGGAAACGAGCUAAACAAAGCUCAGUGAGAUGCAAUUGAGCUAAUUUAGCUUGCAUGGGUGUGCAAGAAAUACUUAUGGAGCUGAUCGAAAAAUGUGCCCGGGGCGUGGUCGCAUCAUUUGGUAUCAGAGCUAGGGUAAAAUUGAGGAGUACGGACGUUCGUGAAGUUGCCGAAGUAAGGGAUCAAAAAAAAUCGAGCAAAAAAAAGAAAGAAAAAAAUUGAAAAAAAAUAAAAAUUGAAAAAAAAGGAUUUCGUGAAUUUUGAAGAUAUUUUGGUAUUAUUCAAUUGUAUUUGAAGUGAAAAAAAAUCGAAGUAUAAAAAAAAAAGAAGAAGUGAAAAGUCUUGCGAGUUUUAUUUUGUUAUCAAUUCUUGUUACUUCCGAACAUCCAUUCAUUCUACCAUUCCUUCUACCCCCCAAAAACGCCACAUACUUUGAUUUUUAUUUUCCU